This 896-nucleotide ribosomal RNA is filed under the name Coniochaeta luteorubra. RNAcentral describes it as "LSU rRNA". It matches the Rfam family "Eukaryotic large subunit ribosomal RNA", at positions 38 to 967 of the family's 3401-position model. Lineage: Eukaryota; Fungi; Ascomycota; Sordariomycetes; Coniochaetales; Coniochaetaceae. The record is from RNAcentral.
GCAUAUCAAUAAGCGGAGGAAAAGAAACCAACAGGGAUUGCCCUAGUAACGGCGAGUGAAGCGGCAACAGCUCAAAUUUGAAAUCUGGCUUCGGCCCGAGUUGUAAUUUGUAGAGGAUGCUUUUGGCGAGGUGCCUUCUGAGUUCCCUGGAACGGGACGCCAGAGAGGGUGAGAGCCCCGUAUAGUCGGACACCUAGCCUCUGUAAAGCUCCUUCGACGAGUCGAGUAGUUUGGGAAUGCUGCUCAAAAUGGGAGGUAUAUCUCUUCUAAAGCUAAAUAUAGGCCAGAGACCGAUAGCGCACAAGUAGAGUGAUCGAAAGAUGAAAAGCACUUUGAAAAGAGGGUUAAAUAGCACGUGAAAUUGUUGAAAGGGAAGCGCUUGUGACCAGACUUGUGCCGGGCUGAUCAUCCAGUGUUCUCACUGGUGCACUCGACCCGGCUCAGGCCAGCGUCGGUUCUCGCGGGGGGAUAAAAGCUUCGGGAACGUGGCUCCUCCGGGAGUGUUAUAGCCCGUCGUUUAAUACCCUCGCGGGGACCGAGGUUCGCGCUCUGCAAGGACGCUGGCAUAAUGGUCAUCAGCGACCCGUCUUGAAACACGGACCAAGGAGUCGAGGUUUUGCGCGAGUGUUUGGGUGUAAAACCCGCACGCGUAAUGAAAGUGAACGUAGGUGAGAGCUUCGGCGCAUCAUCGACCGAUCCUGAUGUAUUCGGAUGGAUUUGAGUAAGAGCGUAUAGCCUCGGACCCGAAAGAUGGUGAACUAUGCCUGAAUAGGGUGAAGCCAGAGGAAACUCUGGUGGAGGCUCGCAGCGGUUCUGACGUGCAAAUCGAUCGUCAAAUUUGGGCAUGGGGGGCGAAAGACUAAUCGAACCAUCUAGUAGCUGGUUACCGCCGAAGU